RNAcentral lists this ribosomal RNA (253 nucleotides) under uncultured bacterium. RNAcentral describes it as "partial 16S ribosomal RNA". It matches the Rfam family "Bacterial small subunit ribosomal RNA", at positions 524 to 776 of the family's 1533-position model. The record is from RNAcentral.
UACGAAGGGUGCAAGCGUUACUCGGAAUUACUGGGCGUAAAGGGUGCGUAGGUGGUUCUUUAAGUCUGCUGUGAAAUCCCCGGGCUCAACCUGGGAAUGGCAGUGGAUACUGGAGAGCUAGAGUGCGGUAGAGGGUAGUGGAAUUCCCGGUGUAGCAGUGAAAUGCGUAGAGAUCGGGAGGAACACCAGUGGCGAAGGCGACUACCUGGACCAGCACUGACACUGAAGCACGAAAGCGUGGGGAGCAAACAGG